GGCCUGUUUGAGCAGGCAUUGCAAAUCUUAAAAACAAUAAGAUGAAUAAUCAUCACUGUUUGAUCACUGCCAUUUAUUGAGUACCUUCUCCAUGGCAGAUGCUAAGAUAAGACCUAACAUGCAUCAUCUCUGAUUUUACAAGUCUUCGAGGUUGCAGCCAUGAAAAUGCCCUGGUCAGCCAUGAUUGACCAUGACAGGGGUACUAGUGCAGGCCUGUUCCUGCUGGACAUGGAACCCCUCUAAUGGCUUAAGGACUCCCACUGGCUGGCAGAAACUUUCUUAGAACAACACUGUAGUCUAAGACUCUUCCUACUGAAUUCUCUUUCCUUCUCCCUCUCCUUUCAUGGGGGUCAGGCCUGCACUGCAGUCUGGGGCUUCCUCUGCCUACUUCAGUUCCUUCCUGAACAUUUUACAGGUGUUUCCCCCAAUAAUUCUCUUAUAUGCCUAAUCCCAUCUUGGUGCCUGCAUCUCGAAGGAACUAACACAGUGGACAGGAGUCCCAUUUUGCAGACAGACACUGGAUCAAUGAUGAAGUUACUUGUGUAAGUCCUACAGCCAACAAAUGUUAAGAGCUGGGGUUGUGUGCAGGUAUGUUUGAUUCCACAAGCCAAGUCUUAGAAGCAUACUAGGCUUCCUCUCUAAUGAUCUAUGCAGGCUUAACUGUGAGGACAGGGAGUGAUGACACAUUUCAGUUUGGCCCCUUUGUUUUGUCGAUGAGAAACCUGAGACCAGUGAGGGAAAGGAUUCGCCCAUGGGUGCCAGUGGGAGGGGUGCACCUGGGCUGUGCACAGCCAUUUCCCUCCUUUGGAGGCUGAGGGAGGAGGUCACAGGGAGGCCUCAGGGUAUGGAGGGAGGUCAGGCUGGGGGGCUUAGUGUCUGACCCACCAGCCUGGCAGGCGGGAAUGUGCCUGUAGAAGCCCACGGCCCUCUUGGGGAGAAGCCAUGAAGUGAGGACUGAGUGCUGCCUGGAGGUGCUGGCUGGGAUGCACAGGGAAGAGCUGUCAGGGUAUGGGUCUAACACUGGAACAGCUGGGGGACAUUCCCUGGAUAUCCCUGCAUUGCCUUGAGGCUCUCCCAUCCCUGUUUGAUCCGUAAGCUCCAAGGAGACAUGUUUCCCAGCCAUAAUGCCUUCUGAUCCCAAUCUCUUCUACUCUUUUCAUUGGCAAGAGUCAUUCUCACCCGGGUUUUCUUAUAUAAUAAUUAUAAACUCAUUCAGGGCCUGUGAGUGAAAAGGCACACAUAUACAUUCAGGUCUAAUAUUCACUGAGCAACCAUCAGCACAAUGGUAUGUGACCUCUUUGAAUGCUGCACUAAUGCUCCACUGUCUAGAAGGAGGCCAGACUGCUCUGGGGACCAGGUGCAGAGGGUGCCCUCAAGUGUCUAGUGUCAGAGAGAGAGGGGCUACUCCACUUUGGCCAGGGUGAACUUGAGUUGGUGAUGACAAACAUCUGCAGCUAGUCUAUUUUUCUAAUCUCACCCUCCAAACAGCCCCAUCUUCUUGCAGGGAGGAUGGGUGAAGGCAUUUUCAAAAAUGGACAUCACAUGUGACAAACAGGCAAAGGACCCUGACAGAGCCACAAAACUGACACGCUCAUGAAAACUCAGACCGCUGACAAUGGUGAGCGCCGACCAAUUCAGCGCCAGGCGUGGAGGCUUCUGGCAAGAGUGGUGGGCUCUGUGCGUCCUGAUGGUGGCAGCAGAGACCAGCUUGGGAGCCACCUGGCUCCUCUGCCCUAGCCCAUUAUGGCCUGAAUCCAAUCAAUUUCAGUUCUCAGCACUUCUGAAAACGUGCGUGGCUUAGAGUGUCUGGCAGGGCUCAGGAGAGAAAAGCAUUUCUCAGCCCCGGGACACAUAUAUGCCUCCAGGCACUGGUUGUGGCUUGCAAUCUGGGAGGGCAGGUGAACGGACACCCUCCCUCCUUGCACAGGCCUGGGAUCUGCCUUACUCAACUCCCACUUCUACCAGGAGCAGAGGAUCACCGCUGCCCAGCACCCCGCCCAUCUGAAUUCUGACUCUGGUGGCUUCAGAGAAGCAAGGUAGGGGCCAGUGCUGGUAUGAAAUGCCAGAUGAGAGGAAACUGAUGCAUGCACUUUACUCCUGACUCAGAGUGCCUGAAAUAUCUGGCAAACUGGCAAAGGAUGAAACCCUUCUUUGAGGUCUGUAGAGUAGCUUUAAGAUAAAUGAAGCCACUGAGAAGGUCCAAAACAAGGGGCCCUUAGACGUGGAAGAGGUCUGCUUUCCUGAUAACUAGAGUGGUGCUGGGCUAUGAAAACAGUCCAAAUAGAUGAGGAUAGUUCCUGAGAGCACAGGGUUCUGAAGCUGGACAAAUAUUCUUCCACCUUAAUGGCCCUCUCACUGGAGCCUUCACAGGGUUAACGAUGGUCCCGCAGGAGUUGGGGCCAUGACUGAGGACAUGGAGCUGAUGUGGAGGCAGUCAGGGCCAAGGCAAGAGCCUCCUUGUGUAUAGUGGAAACGCAAGACAGACAUCAAAGGGAGUGGGGUGUGCGGUUCCCAAGGGGCUACCAGAGUCCACUUUUAUUAAAAGUUUGUGUCUUUCUUUAGAAAGUAAUAUGUUCCAUCUCCAGCACCUGAAGGCUCCUUUCAGGGUGCCAGAAGAAUCCUCAAGGGACAGUCCCAGGCUGUGUCCUUCCUCCUGUCUUGGCUGACAUUUUUAUGCAUGGUUUAGGCAGCCCAUGGGCUUUCCAGCUUUGCAAUAAGAUCUGAUCUAAUUUCAAGCUUAUACAUAACAGAAGGGCUGGGGGAGAAGUAGGAGUUCUUUUAGAAUUGCAAAAUCCAGGUGGGUGUAGCCUGUGGGGUGCAGGCUAUCCAGCUCAAAGAGGGAGGCCCAUAUCUCAGAUUCCCUAAUGCUCGGCACAGUGUCUGGCACACAAUGGGCACACAGGAAAUCCUGCACUGAAUCAAACAGAUUUUGUAUUACCAGAUCUAGGCUGACUCACUGUGUGGUCAGGACCUUGGGUCAAUCACUUCACCUGGUGACUCACUCCCUACCUGUAAGGUGUGGAGGACAGCUGGAGUCACUGUGGCACCUGUGUGUUUAGCAGUGUGUUUGCUUGUUCCUGCUUUUAUGUCUCUGGCUGGUCUAAGAUGGAAUGAUAAAAAAAUAACGGAAUGCACUUUGUAAACGAGAGCAUCCUAGACACAUGUAAAGAUUGGAAAAUUAGAAAGCUGUCUCUACUGUAGUUACUUCUCAGAUAUGACCAACCAUUAUUAAGAAUUCAUUGGCUAAUAGGGCUACAUUUUCUCAUGAUCAUUCUUCUGUUUUAGAAGUGGGCAACUGCAGUUUUAAGAAUAAAUGUGUAAAUGUGUGUUUUCAUGAGAGACAAUAAAGCUGUUUUCAUUAAGAAUGAAAUAUGCAACUUGCAAACACUUUUACUUUUCUUGAAUUGGGUCCUUCAGCAGAAGCAGUUUGCCCAGCCCUGACAUGGAAAGUUUACUUUGCUCAUCAACCUGAAGGAGACCGAAAGCUAUGAGAGGCGGCUCCUGAAAAGAAUCUAGACUCCGGAUAUAAAAAGAUCUUGCAACACAAGGCCAAGUGGAAAUCAUGGUUCGCAUUAAAGGCAUAAACCUCCUGCACUAACAACCCAGAGCAGGAGGAAAAGCUGGGAGACCUGGCUCAGCAGCCUUCCCUGAGGGAAGCCUUCGGGGCUUUGUUCCUCUUGAGAUCAGGGCAAGCCUAUGUAUGACCUGAAGCCAAUACAACCAGCAGAGCUGAUGCCAGUGCUGGCUGCCUGAGUGCUACUAAAGAAAGAGUCCACCAUCGGCUCCCUCUUCCGUAGCCAGACACAGGUGGAAUGCUGUGCUUCCUUUUGGGAGACAAAGCAGAAGCUACCCCAGAGGGGGCAGAUGGGAGACAGGCCCAGGCAAUGCAGCCCUACAAAGAAGACUUGAAGGGCCGGGGCUGAGCAGCUUGGAUGAAGAGAAGGCUGCCUUUCAGAGCUGUUUCAAAUGUUUCAGACGUUGCUAGACAAACUAGAGUUGUAUGGCUUCAGAUGGCACAGCUUAGGGCCAUAGAGUGGGAAUCACAAGAAGGCAAACUUUAGGCCCCCAGGAGAGCUGGACAACAACCUGGAGGGUCAGAGGAGAAUGGGCUGUCCAAGGAGCGGGGAUAUGAGGGUGGGGCAGUGUGGCCAUCCCUGGAAGGGGUAAGGGAGUGGCAGAUGGUAACCAUUUGGGGUGGGGUGUGGCUGAGGAUUCCUGCAAGGCUAUCAGAGAAACUCUAAGAAUCAUAAGAAUCAAAGCUCAAGUACAUGAGGGAAGACAUAAUGAAAUCCCUAAAGUUCUGAGAGGUUGUACCAGAUUCUUUAUGGAGAAUACAGAGAGAAUGCCUCCUGACUCCUCAUUCACAGAGUGCCAGGCAGCAGCAAGGAGAAGCUGGUGGCCUUGGGAGGGCAAAAACUAAGGACAAGGUCCACAAUGCAAUCAGCUCACAUCACCUACGAACAAAUAAAGUGGGGUGGGGGUGGAGAGUUGCUAGAGUUUACGUAACUCUCAAGCCUUAAUUUAGCUGCAAGAACUAGGUUUUUGCCAAAGCUAUAGAACUUCCCACCAGAUGAAAGCUUUAUCUCUUUUUCUUUCUUAGGAGAAGAGAGACAGAAGGAGAGAAGAGGGGCAGGAGGAGAGAAAACACAAGAAAGAGGAUGGAAGAUAAAGAGGAAGGCCAGAGUGAGGCAGGAGAAAGCUGAGCUGGAACCUAACUCCUGUUGAUCUGCUGCAGAGACCCUCUCAUUCCACAAUUGCUCCCGCCAUGGUUUUUGAGACUAUGCAGAAGUUAUUCCAUGAGUUCCAAGCCCAGGUCAUGAAAGAUAACUUGUAAUAAAUCUGGCUACCCUGAAGCUGCCAUGCUUGAGAGACCACACGAGAUGGAGAGAGAUGCUUAGGAGUCCCAGCUGUCCAAGCCUCCAGCUAUGUGAAUCUUCCCAGCAGCAACUGCCAGACAUGUGGUACACCCAAAAUGACUUUGGGGCUACACUUGGAAUUGGCAAGGUUCCAGAAAACAGAGGGACUAUCAUCAGAGACAGCGCACAAAAAGUGGGAGAAAGGUCACCAGCCUCACUCAUGUUUAGGGCUAUUAUGAAUAAAGCUGCUAUGAACACUUGUUUACAAGUUCUUUGUGAGGACACAUGUUUUCAUUUAUCUUGGGAAAAUACCUAGAGAUGGAACUCUGGGACACAUGGUAAUAAAGUAUAUUGGCAUAAUGCAAGAGUCAAGAUGCAGAAAAUAACUACUGUGUGAUGUCUCUCUCCCAGCUUUAACCCGCCUGAAGGGCAGCACUGAGUUCAACACACUGUCCCACAAUUGUUGCACUCUCACACUGAAGUGAACAGAUUCUUUCUCCGUGCCGUGCAGCUCCCGGCAGAGGAUGAGGGAAGGGUACCAUCGGUGAUUCAGCACUGUGUUUCCUAUCCUCUUCAAUGACUCUUUCAGCGAUAUGAAGGUAAAACCAGGUACUGUGAGUGCUCAUCUUAUUUUUGGUUCUUUUGAAGGUGUUUUUUGGUGUAGAUAGUUAUUAAAUUUGGUGUUCCCGCAUGGGGGAACAAUUGAUAGAGCCUUCUAUUUGAUCAUUUUGCUCUGCUCAUUCUAUAUACCACAUUUUCUUUAUCAAAUCUUAUUUAAUUUUGAUUCCAUAAUUUACUAAAGACUAAAUGUGAUAUGCUAAGUUUUUCACAACAAUUAUAUUUUAUCCCACUUUUUUGUCUUCAAAUAGCUUUUGCUUUUGUAUUUCUGUGCUAUGUUAUAGUACAUUACACAUUCAUUGUGGAUUGCAACUUUUAUAAAACAAUCCUCUAUCCAAAGCAUUUUCCUCUGGAGUUUUAUUUUAACCAAUAUUAAUAGUGCCACUACUACCUUGUUCUGACUUUUGCUUUUUUUGAUUUAAAAAUAUAUUUGUUUUAUUUUUGUCUGAUUUUUCUCUAUCUUUAUUUGUAAAUCUUUUGUGUCAUUUGAGUUAGGUGAAUGGAGCACAUGGCUAUGCUUUGUUUUAAAUGAAAGUCUUUGUCAUCCAGCGGAGGACUUUAAUUCAUUUACAUUUAUUGACAUAAAUGUUGGUAGGUCUUAUUUCUCUCAUCUUGCUUUACAAUUUCUAUUUUACUGCUUGUAUUGCUUUUAUUUUGAUGCUUCCUUAUUUCUUCAUCUUUAAAGUAUAUGUACUGCUAUUUUCCUACCAUAAUUACAUUUCUCUAAUUACAAAUAUGAAACUCUGAAUCUCUUCCUUACCAAUCCUAUGUAAAAUAAGAAAUUUAUCAAGCUGGUGGGCUUGAUAAAGGGCUUACCCAUUCCUGUUUCUAAACAAACAAUUAUGCUUAUUUAAACAAUCUGUUCCAAACAACUACCAGCAAAAAUGUGAACUGUUCUUCAUUAGUCUACUAAUUGAAUUUUCUAACUAUCCUGAUGCCAGGAACACCAUGUAUCAGUUAUGCCUAAAAUGUCAUUUAAAAAUAAAAUUGCUUGAGGACAAAUCAGAAAUUAGCAUCUUUAACUAUUUAACUAUUUAAUUACUUUAAGGGCUCCUGGUCAUAGUUUCCACAUUCUACUUCCUUCUCUGUUACAGACUUGAAAGCGUGUGUCAGAUCCCUUCACUAUAUCUUCAGACCUGCCCCAAGGAGUGAGGAAGGGCAACACCAAGAACUUCUCUCCAAGGACCAUAACCUGCGAACCCCAUCUCACCUCCUCCUGCCAGAUGGACACAGUCAUUGUCCUCCUGGCUGAUCCCAUGUCCAUGUCUUGCUCUGGCUACUUUCAUACACCCAUAAUGACAUUUUCCAUCUACUCAAUUUUUUAAAAGCUCAGCUCGAACCUCACGGAUUUUCCUGACAAUCUGCUUCUCUCAAUGGCCUUAAUUUAAGUGAGGGUUGUCAGUCUUACUGGGUCUCGUUUUUUGUCUUAAAUAAUAACUAUUUAUGGGUAUCAAGUGUCUCCUCAAUUUGGCUAUGAUCCUUCACGGCAGAAAUACUGUCUUAUCUUGUGAUCAUGGAGUCACAAGAUUUCAUGGCUAGGAAUAUUCGUCAAAUUAAUCCUAGAUUGAGGAUCAGGUAGUAUGUGGUCUGAUUCUAACUCAACAACUUGCAGAAACUCACUUCUUUUUUCUUUUUUUUUCCCCAGGAGGAGCUAUCGUAUUAACUGACGAAACUCACUUCAUUUCUUUGGACCUGCAAAAUGAGGAUGGGCUCUAAACCACCUCUAAAGUUAAUAUUCUAUGAUUCCAUGAUAAGGCUAUUUGUCAUUUAUAAAAAAAGGAACUUCCACAUAGCCCAGAGAAAGGAAAUGACUUUUUCAAGUUUACAGAGUCAAUUAAUGGACGAAAUGUAAUUUGAAAUUCAAUCUCCUGAUCCCCAGUCUAUUGGGAGUUCUUUCAGAAUGUCCCUUGACUGUCCCUCAAAGUGCCAGCAUGUAUGAAACCUUGUUAAGGAUGUAUGCUCAAUGAAAAUACACAAAUUGACUUAACAAGAAACUAAACUCUCCAGAAAGAUGCAGUUGACCCAAAACUCUGAAUAUCUUUUAUGUUUAAAACUUUCUUUUUUGAACAAAAUUGUACAGUUACUUCUCUAUUUCAACUCUUAAGCCUUUUAUGCCACGUCAAAGGUUAGCUCUCUUUUCUCUCUGUUAAUAAAGUCUUAUUCUUGACUUUGGAACUGUAUGCCAA
Molecule: long non-coding RNA, 7660 nt
Filed under: Homo sapiens (human)
Lineage: Eukaryota; Metazoa; Chordata; Mammalia; Primates; Hominidae
Description: HSALNT0314750
Source: RNAcentral